CGCAUGGUUUUGAUUUGAAAGGCGCUUUCGGGUGUCGCUGAUGGAUGGACCCGCGGUGCAUUAGCUAGUUGGUGAGGUAACGGCUCACCAAGGCCACGAUGCAUAGCCGACCUGAGAGGGUGAUCGGCCACAUUGGGACUGAGACACGGCCCAAACUCCUACGGGAGGCAGCAGUAGGGAAUCUUCGGCAAUGGACGAAAGUCUGACCGAGCAACGCCGCGUGAGUGAAGAAGGUUUUCGGAUCGUAAAACUCUGUUGUUAGAGAAGAACAAGGAUGAGAGUAACUGUUCAUCCCUUGACGGUAUCUAACCAGAAAGCCACGGCUAACUACGUGCCAGCAGCCGCGGUAAUACGUAGGUGGCAAGCGUUGUCCGGAUUUAUUGGGCGUAAAGCGAGCGCAGGCGGUUUCUUAAGUCUGAUGUGAAAGCCCCCGGCUCAACCGGGGAGGGUCAUUGGAAACUGGGAGACUUGAGUGCAGAAGAGGAGAGUGGAAUUCCAUGUGUAGCGGUGAAAUGCGUAGAUAUAUGGAGGAACACCAGUGGCGAAGGCGGCUCUCUGGUCUGUAACUGACGCUGAGGCUCGAAAGCGUGGGGAGCAAACAGGAUUAGAUACCCUGGUAGUCCACGCCGUAAACGAUGAGUGCUAAGUGUUGGAGGGUUUCCGCCCUUCAGUGCUGCAGCUAACGCAUUAAGCACUCCGCCUGGGGAGUACGACCGCAAGGUUGAAACUCAAAGGAAUUGACGGGGGCCCGCACAAGCGGUGGAGCAUGUGGUUUAAUUCGAAGCAACGCGAAGAACCUUACCAGGUCUUGACAUCCUUUGACCACUCUAGAGAUAGAGCUUCCCCUUCGGGGGCAAAGUGACAGGUGGUGCAUGGUUGUCGUCAGCUCGUGUCGUGAGAUGUUGGGUUAAGUCCCGCAACGAGCGCAACCCUUAUUGUUAGUUGCCAUCAUUCAGUUGGGCACUCUAGCAAGACUGCCGGUGACAAACCGGAGGAAGGUGGGGAUGACGUCAAAUCAUCAUGCCCCUUAUGACCUGGGCUACACACGUGCUACAAUGGGAAGUACAACGAGUUGCGAAGUCGCGAGGCUAAGCUAAUCUCUUAAAGCUUCUCUCAGUUCGGAUUGCAGGCUGCAACUCGCCUGCAUGAAGCCGGAAUCGCUAGUAAUCGCGGAUCAGCACGCCGCGGUGAAUACGUUCCCGGGCCUUGUACACACCGCCCGUCACACCACGAGAGUUUGUAACACCCGAAGUCGGUGAGGUAACCUUUUGGAGCCAGCCGCCUAAGGUGGGAUAGAUGAUUGGGGUGAAGUCGUAACAAGGUAGCCGUAUCGGAAGGUGCGGCUGGAUCACCUCCUUU
Molecule: ribosomal RNA, 1359 nt
Filed under: Enterococcus faecium
Lineage: Bacteria; Bacillati; Bacillota; Bacilli; Lactobacillales; Enterococcaceae
Description: bacterial SSU rRNA
Rfam family: Bacterial small subunit ribosomal RNA
Source: RNAcentral